RNAcentral lists this ribosomal RNA (308 nucleotides) under uncultured bacterium. Its description in RNAcentral is "partial 16S ribosomal RNA". It matches the Rfam family "Bacterial small subunit ribosomal RNA", at positions 505 to 807 of the family's 1533-position model. The record is from RNAcentral.
GAGACAGCAGCAGCCACGGGAAUACGUAGGUGGCAAGCGUUGUCCGGAAUUAUUGGGCGUAAAGGGCUCGCAGGCGGUUUCUUAAGUCUGAUGUGAAAGCCCCCGGCUCAACCGGGGAGGGUCAUUGGAAACUGGGAAACUUGAGUGCAGAAGAGGAGAGUGGAAUUCCACGUGUAGCGGUGAAAUGCGUAGAGACGUGGAGGAACACCAGUGGCGAAGGCGACUCUCUGGUCUGUAACUGACGCUGAGGAGCGAAAGCGUGGGGAGCAAAUGGGAUUAGAUACCCCAGUAGUCCCUGUCUCUUAUAC